RNAcentral lists this transfer RNA (77 nucleotides) under Sphaerodactylus townsendi. RNAcentral's name for it is "tRNA-Ala". Lineage: Eukaryota; Metazoa; Chordata; Lepidosauria; Squamata; Sphaerodactylidae. The record is from RNAcentral.
GGGGAUGGGCUUUGGCUCACUGGACGAGCUUCUACUUUGCUUUCAGAAAGUCCCAGGUUCGAUCCCCGGCAUCUCCA